UACGUAGGCAGCAAGCGUUGUUCGGAGUUACUGGGCGUAAAGGGUGUGUAGGCGGUUGGAUAAGUGUGGUGUGAAAUCUCCCGGCUCAACUGGGAGGGUGCGCUACAAACUGUCUGACUAGAGUGUGGGAUGGGAAAGUGGAAUUCCUGGUGUAGCGGUGAAAUGCGUAGAUAUCAGGAGGAACACCGAUGGCGAAGGCAGGUCUCUGGGCCACUACUGACGCUGAGAAGCGAAAGCAUGGGGAGCGAACAGG
RNAcentral lists this ribosomal RNA (253 nucleotides) under uncultured bacterium. Its description in RNAcentral is "partial 16S ribosomal RNA". It matches the Rfam family "Bacterial small subunit ribosomal RNA", at positions 524 to 776 of the family's 1533-position model. The record is from RNAcentral.